AUGUCCACCGCCAAUGACGUCGAUCAUUCCGCCACCGAGAAGAAGACCGCCGCGGCUUCUGACUGGCCUACUGAAGAGUAUAACUCAUUUACCCCGCUUCUGUUUCUUUCUGUCUUGACAGUACAAGUUGUGCACGUAGAUAUUUCUAUUAUAUGUCUAGUAUAUGCUUAUCUAGAUUGUAAUCAGUAUGUUAUUAAUUCUUUCAAUUCAAUGUUCAUGAUUUAUUCACAGAUUAAAUUAACCGAAAAAUUGCUAAUAUACUCGACAAGAUGUAGCAUUGUUAAAAACCAUCUGGAUGCAAUCCGCCAAAAAAAUAAAUCUUCUGGAUGUAAUUUAGCAAUUCUGAAACAGAAAUUUCUGGUAUUUUCCAAUAACCGGUUCGGCCAUCCGCAAUGCCGGGUGAAAAAAAUGUGUACCAGAGAAAAAUCCUCGUGGAAACCAAACUGUGAUCUCUGGAUUCACGUGCAGCGCCAGAAUUGA
This 480-nucleotide ribosomal RNA is filed under the name Triticum aestivum (bread wheat). RNAcentral's name for it is "partial small subunit ribosomal RNA". Lineage: Eukaryota; Viridiplantae; Streptophyta; Magnoliopsida; Poales; Poaceae. The record is from RNAcentral.